Molecule: ribosomal RNA, 372 nt
Filed under: uncultured organism
Description: partial 16S ribosomal RNA
Rfam family: Bacterial small subunit ribosomal RNA
Source: RNAcentral
GGAGGGGGCGAGCGUUGUUCGGAAUUACUGGGCGUAAAGGGCGCGUAGGCGGCCGGUGAAGUGUUUCGUGAAAGCCCUCGGCUUAACCGGGGAAGGGCGCGGCAAACUCACCGGCUAGAGUUCUGGAGGGGGAUGCGGAAUUCCUGGUGGAGCGGUGAAAUGCGUAGAGAUCAGGAAGAACGUCGGUGGCGAAGGCGGCAUCCUGGACAGAAACUGACGCUGAGGCGCGAGAGCGUGGGGAGCGAACGGGAUUAGAUACCCCGGUAGUCCACGCCGUAAACGAUGGGCACUAGGUGUGGGGGUCGUGAUGAUGUCCCGUGCCGGAGCUAACGCAGUAAGUGCCCCCGCCUGGGGAGUACGGUCGCAAGGCUG